CCUACGGGAGGCAGCAGUAGGGAAUCUUUCACAAUGGGCGAAAGCCUGAUGGAGCAAUGCCGCGUGCAGGACGAAGGCUUCGGGUUGUAAACUGCUUUUAUAAGCGAGGAAUAUGACGGUCACUUAUGAAUAAGGAUCGGCUAACUACGUGCCAGCAGCCGCGGUAAU
Molecule: ribosomal RNA, 168 nt
Filed under: uncultured bacterium
Lineage: Bacteria
Description: partial 16S ribosomal RNA
Rfam family: Bacterial small subunit ribosomal RNA
Source: RNAcentral